This 462-nucleotide ribosomal RNA is filed under the name uncultured bacterium. Its description in RNAcentral is "partial 16S ribosomal RNA". It matches the Rfam family "Bacterial small subunit ribosomal RNA", at positions 28 to 507 of the family's 1533-position model. The record is from RNAcentral.
GACGAACGCUGGCGGCGUGCUUAACACAUGCAAGUCGAGCGGAAAGGCCCUUCGGGGUACUCGAGCGGCGAACGGGUGAGUAACACGUGAGUAACCUGCCCCAGACUUUGGGAUAACCCUCGGAAACGGGGGCUAAUACCGGAUACGACACAGCUUCGCAUGGGGUCUGUGUGGAAAGUUUUUCGGUUUGGGAUGGGCUCGCGGCCGAUCAGCUUGUUGGUGGGGUGAUGGCCUACCAAGGCGACGACGGGUAGCCGGCCUGAGAGGGCGACCGGCCACACUGGGACUGAGGGACGGCCCAGACUGCUACGGGAGGCAGCAGUGGGGAAUAUUGCACAAUGGGCGGAAGCCUGAGGCAGCGACGCCGCGUGAGGGAUGACGGCCUUCGGGUUGUAAACCUCUUUCAGCAGGGACGAAGCGUAAGUGACGGUACCUGCAGAAGAAGCGCCGGCCAACUACGUG